This 123-nucleotide small nuclear RNA is filed under the name Neogale vison (American mink). RNAcentral describes it as "Neovison vison (American mink) U4 spliceosomal RNA (ENSNVIG00000014023.1)". It matches the Rfam family "U4 spliceosomal RNA". Rfam says of the family: U4 small nuclear RNA (U4 snRNA) is a component of the major U2-dependent spliceosome. The structure of U4 snRNA from yeast and human has been reported. The record is from RNAcentral. Lineage: Eukaryota; Metazoa; Chordata; Mammalia; Carnivora; Mustelidae.
AACGUGUGGCAGUAUCGUAGCCAAUGAGGUUUAUCCGAGGCGCGAUUAUUGCUAAUUGAAAACUUUUCCCAACGUUUACUUUAGUUCUUCAUUAAAUCCCAUCACUGUAAGAUUCCUAAUAAU